GUGUUGAACUGAACAGGGGACUUUUCUUUGUAUGCUUUUAGCAUGAUUUGGACCUGAUAAUGCCGCUAACAGGUGCCAGAUCCCUCCUUGGCAUGAUUUGGACCUGAUAAUGCCGCUAACAGGUGCCAGAUCCCUCCUUGGCAUGAUUUGGACCUGAUCAUGCCGCUAACAGGUGCCAGAUCCCUCCUUGGCAUGAUUUGGACCUGAUAAUGCCGCUAACAGGUGCCAGAUCCCUCCUUGGCAUGAUUUGGACCUGAUCAUGCCGCUAACAGGUGCCAGAUCCCUCCUUGGCAUGAUUUGGACCUGAUCAUGCCGCUAACAGGUGCCAGAUCCCUCCUUGGCAUGAUUUGGACCUGAUCAUGCCGCUAACAGGUGCCAGAUCCCUCCUUGGCAUGAUUUGGACCUGAUCAUGCCGCUAACAGGUGCCAGAUCCCUCCUUGGCAUGAUUUGGACCUGAUAAUGCCGCUAACAGGUGCCAGAUCCCUCCUUGGCAUGAUUUGGACCUGAUCAUGCCGCUAACAGGUGCCAGAUCCCUCCUUGGCAUGAUUUGGACCUGAUAAUGCCGCUAACAGGUGCCAGAUCCCUCCUUGGCAUGAUUUGGACCUGAUAAUGCCGCUAACAGGUGCCAGAUCCCUCCUUGGCAUGAUUUGGACCUGAUCAUGCCGCUAACAGGUGCCAGAUCCCUCCUUGGCAUGAUUUGGACCUGAUCAUGCCGCUAACAGGUGCCAGAUCCCUCCUUGGCAUGAUUUGGACCUGAUAAUGCCGCUAACAGGUGCCAGAUCCCUCCUUGGCAUGAUUUGGACCUGAUAAUGCCGCUAACAGGUGCCAGAUCCCUCCUUGGCAUGAUUUGGACCUGAUAAUGCCGCUAACAGGUGCCAGAUCCCUCCUUGGCAUGAUUUGGACCUGAUAAUGCCGCUAACAGGUGCCAGAUCCCUCCUUGGCAUGAUUUGGACCUGAUAAUGCCGCUAACAGGUGCCAGAUCCCUCCUUGGCAUGAUUUGGACCUGAUAAUGCCGCUAACAGGUGCCAGAUCCCUCCUUGGCAUGAUUUGGACCUGAUAAUGCCUCUAACAGGUGCCAGAUCCCUCCUUGGCUUGCUAGCUCAGCUCACCCGUCGGAUGUUGCUGAUGGGGAUGUCGGUGA
This is a long non-coding RNA of Oncorhynchus keta (chum salmon), 1141 nucleotides long. RefSeq lists it as uncharacterized. The transcript is spliced from 4 exons. The record is from RefSeq and is a predicted model, not a curated record. NCBI's taxonomy places the organism in Eukaryota, Metazoa, Chordata, Actinopteri, Salmoniformes, Salmonidae.